UACGAAGGGAGCAAGCGUUGUUCGGAAUUACUGGGCGUAAAGGGCUCGUAGGCGGCCAACUAAGUCAGACGUGAAAUCCCUCGGCUUAACCGGGGAACUGCGUCUGAUACUGGAUGGCUUGAGAUUGGGAGAGGGAUGCGGAAUUCCAGGUGUAGCGGUGAAAUGCGUAGAUAUCUGGAGGAACACCGGUGGCGAAGGCGGCAUCCUGGACCAACACUGACGCUGAGGAGCGAAAGCCAGGGGAGCAAACGGG
RNAcentral lists this ribosomal RNA (253 nucleotides) under uncultured bacterium. RNAcentral describes it as "partial 16S ribosomal RNA". It matches the Rfam family "Bacterial small subunit ribosomal RNA", at positions 524 to 776 of the family's 1533-position model. The record is from RNAcentral.